RNAcentral lists this long non-coding RNA (1831 nucleotides) under Coturnix japonica (Japanese quail). Its description in RNAcentral is "lncRNA (ENSCJPG00005020421.1)". Lineage: Eukaryota; Metazoa; Chordata; Aves; Galliformes; Phasianidae. The record is from RNAcentral.
AUGAUGCUGAAUGCAAUCACAGGUGAGGGCCACCCCGACCAGAGCUCUGCGCUACCCAAGACACAAGAGCCGCUCCAAACACAACCGCCCGGCACCAAGCGCUGUGAGGCGGCAGCGCCACCGCUGCCAGCCCCGCCCACCGCGAAGAGAAGGAGGAGAAAGAAGGGGAGGAAGGGGAAGAAGGGGCAGGAGGGAAGCGGGGAGGAGAGCUGCCUCCGCCGGGAGCGGCAUGGCGGACGGAAGAGGUGGAACGUCAGCGCCGCAGGAGGCGGUCGGAGCUGCGUGCUGCUUUGUUUGGGUGAUGCUGGGUGGGACGCCUACGCAGCGAGACGGCACCCUCACGUAGUGCGUGGAUCGCUCUCGAUGUGGACUGACCAGGCCAGGCCUCCCCGAGGCGGCCGAGCACCCUCGGGUGCUGAGGAUAGGCCGUGCCCCCUUAGGUCGUGUUUGUACCUAAAUCGACUCCUCCUAGGAGGGCUCAGUGAUGAGUCAGUUACACUUCAGCCCCUCUUUGCACCCCAUUAAAGCGUUCAGUGGGAGAAAUCUGGUUGGAGGAGAAACUUCUAGAGCAGCACAGCCAUCACAGCGCGGGCUGCUUUAUCUUGUGACAUCAGGGAGCAUAUAAACAAGAGUGGGAAUGGCUGUGGGUGGGUAGUGACAGGACAAGGGGAAAUGAUUUUAAACUGAGGCAGGGGAGGUUCGGGUUAGAUAUUAGGAGGAAAUUGUUCACACAGAGGGUGGUGAUGCACUGGAACAGGUUGCCCAAGGAGGCUGUGGAUGCCCCAUCCCUGGAGGCAUUCAAGGCCAGGCUGGAUGUGGCUCUGGGCAGCCUGGUCUGGUGGUUGGUGACCCUGCACAUAGCAGGGGAUUGAAACUGGAUUCACUGCGGUUCUUUUCAACCCAGGCUGUUCUGAUUCUAUGAUCAGUUUUUAUCUUCCUUCAGCCUGCGUUAGGCUUUUCUGCAGGAAAGUGGUGCCUGUGUCCCCACACACAGCCUGUGUGACAUCAGCAUGUCCUGUUGGUACUGUGCUUUGUUACAGUUGUGAUGUGAAUAUUCAUAGUUGUCGUCUCAGGUAAAGAAAGAUGACUUGUGUAACAAACACAUCUAACACUGCAGGGCUUUUUUUUUCCCCCGGACUUCAGUUUAUUUUCCUCCUCUUUCUUCUUUACCUUCUUGAUGUAGGAGAGAAGUCAGUGGCUUACAGGAGCUUCAUUUUAAGUGUCCCUUUAACCUUUAAGCACUGAAAUUUGCUCCUGAUAUCAUCACUGCUCUGUCACCUGCAGUUUGUAACUGCUUUUUGGUUUUGUUGUACUGUUUCCCCAGAUACUGCUCCUACUUUCAAGGUUUCUUUUGCUGUAGAAAUCCUUGACCUACCUUUUCCAUGUUCUCUUUUUUCUGCCCUGUUACCUCCACAGCUUACCAGAUCUUAUAGACCAGUCUGACACUCUAGAACAGCAGGAGAAACUCCUGUGUUUUGCUGGAUUUCCAGCUGUUUUGUGCUCAGUUAGCUUGUGGGAAGGCUGAUGAGAGGGUGAGCUGACAGAGAACGUGGCAGAGGGGAAAAGCUGAGAAAAGAGAGAUAUCCCUAUAGACAACACUGAGCCAUGAGAUCAACUUAGCUGUCCAAGGAGCCAUAACAUUGCCUGAUAAUUGCACCACGGCCACAGCACAGUUUGCAUUACAUUUCUGAAGUACCCAGGCAGUUACAAUACAGACAGGCUGCUUGGUACUGGUCUGCACAUCUAUGACCAGCAGGCCAAUGUUCUCUACUCUUUUUUCUUUGCGUGUGUCUGAAAUAAAAGGUCAAUUAAUAACUUUGUUAUUAGUCUU